Molecule: ribosomal RNA, 468 nt
Filed under: uncultured bacterium
Lineage: Bacteria
Description: partial 16S ribosomal RNA
Rfam family: Bacterial small subunit ribosomal RNA
Source: RNAcentral
GACGAACGCUGGCGGCGUGCUUAACACAUGCAAGUCGAACGGAAAGGCCCUGCUUUUGUGGGGUGCUCGAGUGGCGAACGGGUGCGUAACACGUGAGUAACCUGCCCUUGACUUUGGUAUAACUUCAGGAAACUGGGGCUAAUACCGGAUAGGAGCUCCUGCUGCAUUGUGGGGGUUGGAACGUUUCGGCGGUUGGGGAUGGACUGGCGGCUUAUCAGCUUGUUGGUUGGGUAGUCGCUUACCAAGGCUUUGAAGGGUAGCCGGCCUGAGAGGGUGACCGGGGUCAUGGCGACUGAGGGAGGGCCCAGAGUGGUAUGGGAGGCAGUAGGGGGGAAUAUGGCACAGUCGGAGGGAGUGGGAGGAAGAAACGCUGGGGGUGGGAAGACGGCUUGUGGGGUGAGAAAAGCAGCAGCUUGAGACGCAGCGGGAGUGACGGUAAUGAAUAAAGAAGCACCGGCUAACUACGUG